UUUUCGCAAUGCCCGAAAGGGUGACGAAGCGACGCCGCGUGGAUGAAGAAGGCCUUCGGGUUGUAAAAUCCUGUCAGGAGUUAAGAAAUAUAAGUUUGAUAAUACCAAAUUUAUUUGACAAAGGCUCCAGAGGAAGCCACGGCUAACUCUGUGCCAGCAGCCGCGGUAAUACAGAGGUGGCAAGCGUUGUUCGGAAUUAUUGGGCGUAAAGAGCACGUAGGUGGGUUUGUAAGUCAGAUGUGAAAGCCUUCUGUUCAACGGAAGAAUUGCAUCUGAAACUGCGAGUCUUGAGUGUAGGAGGGGAGAAUGGAACUUCUGGUGGAGCGGUGAAAUGCGUAGAUAUCAGAAGGAACGCCGGCGGCGAAAGCGAUUCUCUGGCCUAUUACUGACACUCAGUGUGCGAAAGCUAGGGGAGCAAACGGGAUUAGAUACCCCGGUAGUCCUAGCCGUAAACGAUGGGCACUAAGUAGAGGGGUUUUAAUC
This 483-nucleotide ribosomal RNA is filed under the name uncultured anaerobic ammonium-oxidizing bacterium. RNAcentral's name for it is "bacterial SSU rRNA". It matches the Rfam family "Bacterial small subunit ribosomal RNA", at positions 363 to 836 of the family's 1533-position model. The record is from RNAcentral.